GACGAACGCUGGCGGCGUGCUUAACACAUGCAAGUCGAACGGAAAGGCCUGCUUUUCCUUGUGGAUUGCGUGUACUCGAGUGGCGAACGGGUGAGUAACACGUGAGUGAUCUGCCCCCAACUUGGGUAUAAGCCUGGGAAACUGGGUCGAAUUCUCGAUAGGACUGCAGGGUGGUGCCUGUGGUGGAAGACUAUUUUCUAGUUGUUGGUGAUUAGCCCACGGCUUAUCAGGUUGUUGGUGUGGUGAUUGACUACCACGGCGGGGACUGGUAGCCGGCCGGGGAGCGUGGACAGCGACAUUGGGACUGAGUUCCGGCCCCGACGCCUACGGGCGGCAGCAGUGGGGCAGCUAGGACAGUGGGCGGAAGGCUGAAGCAGCGCCGCAGCGUGGGGGAUGACGGCCUUCGGGUAGUAAACUACUUUCGACCGAGAGAAAGCCAACUGGUUGGAAGGGUGGUGACGGUAGUGGUAGAAGAAGCCCCGGCUAACUACGUG
RNAcentral lists this ribosomal RNA (494 nucleotides) under uncultured bacterium. Its description in RNAcentral is "partial 16S ribosomal RNA". It matches the Rfam family "Bacterial small subunit ribosomal RNA", at positions 28 to 507 of the family's 1533-position model. The record is from RNAcentral.